Molecule: ribosomal RNA, 469 nt
Filed under: Agrobacterium sp. 10612
Lineage: Bacteria; Pseudomonadati; Pseudomonadota; Alphaproteobacteria; Hyphomicrobiales; Rhizobiaceae
Description: bacterial SSU rRNA
Rfam family: Bacterial small subunit ribosomal RNA
Source: RNAcentral
UGGAGAGUUUGAUCCUGGCUCAGAACGAACGCUGGCGGCAGGCUUAACACAUGCAAGUCGAACGCCCCGCAAGGGGAGUGGCAGACGGGUGAGUAACGCGUGGGAAUCUACCGUGCCCUGCGGAAUAGCUCUGGGAAACUGGAAUUAAUACCGCAUACGCCCUACGGGGGAAAGAUUUAUCGGGGUAUGAUGAGCCCGCGUUGGAUUAGCUAGUUGGUGGGGUAAUGGCCUACCAAGGCGACGAUCCAUAGCUGGUCUGAGAGGAUGAUCAGCCACAUUGGGACUGAGACACGGCCCAAACUCCUACGGGAGGCAGCAGUGGGGAAUAUUGGACAAUGGGCGCAAGCCUGAUCCAGCCAUGCCGCGUGAGUGAUGAAGGCCUUAGGGUUGUAAAGCUCUUUCACCGGAGAAGAUAAUGACGGUAUCCGGAGAAGAAGCCCCGGCUAACUUCGUGCCAGCAGCCGCGGUA